UGGGAGGUAGACAAUUGAAAAGGAACAUGGAAGAAAAAGCCAGCGAGGCGGAGGAGAAAUGAAAACAGAAAAUAUCAAAGUGCAUUCGGAUAGAUCUGCCCACUGCUCGUGAUCACUGUUUCCUUCACUGUGGUCCUCCAGAAUUCGUGGAUCGAAGAACAACACGAGGAAAGGAACGAGGAUGGCAAGGGCAAGCCAAGAAGAUAGCCAGCUGCUAGCAAGGAUGCCUAUCAGUCACAUAAAUCCAGAACAAAGUCCCACAGACCUGUGAUUGGCCCAUCUCUACAGUACAGGACUUCAUGGAAUCAUCAUGGAAAACAACCUCUAAGCAUGUCUGUUUCCAGAGGGAUUUAACUGAGAGGGGAAGACAAACCCUGAAUUUGAGCAGCACCAUCCUCUGAUGUUGGGCCCACAGUGAGUAAAACGAGAAAGUAAGCUAAGCAGCAGUAUUCAUCAGUCUGGUCUUCCUGAUGUGUAUGUCAUGUGACCAACUACCUUAUUCUCCAGCCAGCAUGGUUUCUCCUGUGAUGGG
This is a long non-coding RNA of Mus musculus (house mouse), 532 nucleotides long. RefSeq annotates it as predicted gene, 53472. The record is from RefSeq and is a predicted model, not a curated record. Lineage: Eukaryota; Metazoa; Chordata; Mammalia; Rodentia; Muridae. The transcript has 3 exons.